AGCAUAUUUUGCCCAGGCGGAGCUCGACCGCCCGUUCCGGAGAUGACUGCCUUCAUUGAUGAGCAUCGUGAGGUUUAUGGGGUCGAGCCGAUCUGCCGGGUUCUGCCGAUCGCCCCA
Molecule: regulatory RNA element, 117 nt
Organism: Sphingopyxis witflariensis
Lineage: Bacteria; Pseudomonadati; Pseudomonadota; Alphaproteobacteria; Sphingomonadales; Sphingopyxidaceae
Rfam family: ALIL pseudoknot
Source: Rfam